GUGGGCGUGGUGUAUGGUACACGGCUGUGUUCAACUUGCACUGUAAGAAGCUGUUCAGACAGUAGUUCCGGGUUCGACUCCCGGCGCCCGCA
Mycena epipterygia is the source of this 92-nucleotide non-coding RNA. Lineage: Eukaryota; Fungi; Basidiomycota; Agaricomycetes; Agaricales; Mycenaceae. The record is from the annotation of a GenBank genome assembly.